This 419-nucleotide ribosomal RNA is filed under the name Olivierus caucasicus. Its description in RNAcentral is "Mesobuthus caucasicus partial 12S ribosomal RNA". Lineage: Eukaryota; Metazoa; Arthropoda; Arachnida; Scorpiones; Buthidae. The record is from RNAcentral.
ACCAUAAAAGUAAAAAAAUUUUUGUUUUAAAUUUGAAACUUUUUGAAAAAAAAAAGAAACUCUGUAGAAGGUAAAAUUUCAAAGGGUUAAAAUAUUUUGGGGAAAUGUUUUGAAAAUUCUGAAGUGAAACUAGGAUUAGAUACCCUAUUAUUGUAGAGAAAAAAGAAAUUAGGUAGUAGUAGAAGGCUUGAAACUUAAAGAAUUUGGCGGUGUUUUAAUCUUAUCAGAGGAACUUGUAUUUUAAUUCGAAACUACCCGUUUAAUUUCACUUAAGUUUUGUUUGUAUAUCGUCGUAAAAAUAAAACUUUAAAGUGAAUAUUAGGAAGAAUUAUUUUUAAAAUUACAGAUCAAGGUUCAGCGUAUAUUUGAGUAUAAUAUGAGUUACAGUAUGUUAAAUGUAUUACGAAAAAGAGAUUGAA